AGGACGAACGCUGGCGGCGUGCUUAACACAUGCAAGUCGAGCGGAAAGGCCCUUCGGGGUACUCGAGCGGCGAACGAGUGAGUAACACGUGAGUAAUCUGCCCCUAGCUCUGGGAUAGCUCCGGGAAAACCGGGAUUAAUACCGGAUACGACCACCUUAGACAUCUUUUGUGGUGGAAAGAAUUUCGGCUAGGGAUGAGCUCGCGGCCUAUCAGCUUGUUGGUGGGGUAACGGCCUACCAAGGCGACGACGGGUAGCCGGCCUGAGAGGGCGACCGGCCACACUGGGACUGAGACACGGCCCAGACUCCUACGGGAGGCAGCAGUGGGGAAUAUUGCGCAAUGGGCGAAAGCCUGACGCAGCGACGCCGCGUGGGGGAUGAAGGCCUUCGGGUUGUAAACCCUUUCAGCAGGGACGAAGCGAAAGUGACGGUACCUGCAGAAGAAGCGCCGGCUAACUACGUGCCAGCAGCCGC
Molecule: ribosomal RNA, 474 nt
Filed under: uncultured bacterium
Lineage: Bacteria
Description: SSU rRNA
Rfam family: Bacterial small subunit ribosomal RNA
Source: RNAcentral